This 658-nucleotide long non-coding RNA is filed under the name Physcomitrium patens. RNAcentral describes it as "long non-coding RNA (PPAT_LNC008809)". The record is from RNAcentral. Lineage: Eukaryota; Viridiplantae; Streptophyta; Bryopsida; Funariales; Funariaceae.
GCAAGUAAAGGGGGAGCGGAGGGACAAACUGAGCUAACAGCAGACUGGGGUGUACCAACAGGGGCGUUGAUUUACUGGAGUGUCUUGAAUUAAGACUACUGAUAUCUGACGUGCAGCGAUUCGAGGUGAGCUUGUUUAAUGAGGUUUCAUCUAACCUCCUUCAUGAGCCCUGCUUCGUCGUCGGACUUUGCGCCUCCCUAGGACCCUUUUCCUUUAUGGCUCCCAGGCUCCCUGAGUUAUUGCAACUUGUGUCUGAUCCGAAACCCAUCCUUACUACUCUACGACGAAGAUGUGGUCAUCGCUUUCGAACCUCUCCCAACUUGGGGUGGUACCUUCUCCGCGUCAUUUUUAUUUUUAUUUUUAUUUUUUUGUCUUUUUUCUCACAGGAAAUACGUCGUUUAAAAUGACUGUAGAAUCCUUUCCCAUCACCAGAACUUGGAUGUGAGCGGGGCAAAGUCUCGAGCAUUUGCGAAGCCUGGAUCAUGUUUUCAAGUUCCAGCCAGUCACUUUUGUUUUGUAACUUCCGUGGCUAACACUGGUAGGGCUAGGUCAAGGUGGGAUUUUCUGUAUUUUCGCUUCUUUCACAAUGACAUAGGAGCGUGUAAUGUGUUUUACACGCUCACAUUGAGCCAUUCGAGGCAAGCUGGACAAAGUUCUG